GAUGAACGCUAGCGGCAGGCCUAAUACAUGCAAGUCGGACGGGAUUCAGGAGCUUGCUUCUGAUGAGAGUGGCGCACGGGUGCGUAACACGUAUGUAACCUACCUUUAUCAGGGGGAUAGCCUCUCGAAAGAGAGAUUAAGCCCGCAUAAAAUCACAGCACAGCAUUGUGUAAUGAUCAAAUAUUUAUAGGAUAAAGAUGGGCAUGCGGAACAUUAGCUAGAUGGCGGGGUAACGGCCCACCAUGGCGACGAUGUUUAGGGGAUCUGAGAGGAUGGCCCCCCACACUGGUACUGAGACACGGACCAGACUCCUACGGGAGGCAGCAGUAAGGAAUAUUGGUCAAUGGGCGGAAGCCUGAACCAGCCAUGCCGCGUGCAGGAAGACGGCCCUACGGGUUGUAAACUGCUUUUAUACGGGAAUAAACCCAGAUACGUGUAUCUGGCUGAAUGUACUGUAAGAAUAAGGAUCGGCUAACUCCGUG
RNAcentral lists this ribosomal RNA (482 nucleotides) under uncultured bacterium. Its description in RNAcentral is "partial 16S ribosomal RNA". It matches the Rfam family "Bacterial small subunit ribosomal RNA", at positions 28 to 507 of the family's 1533-position model. The record is from RNAcentral.